GCACAUGGACCCACUGGUCAAGCGGGCUCGGCAAGGCCAGGAUGAAGAGAAGCUACGAACUUAGCAUUCCCAGAGCCCCCCGAGUGGAUAUCCGCGUGGAAAGGAUGUUGGCAGCCCCGGUGACCUCGGAGUCACGGCUGGAUCCACCCUCUUGUCUGAUUUUCUUAACUCUACUACGGUAAGAAGAUGCCCUCCAUCAGCAGGCCGUGUCUGCUGGGACCUCUCUGGAGACUUCCUGAACCCUGUGGAUUUACAGUAAGAUGCAGUUUCCUGGGGAGUAAUUCUGGUGGAUACAAAUUCCGGAGUAUUACACCUGGCUUGCCUGGAGAUGUUACAAGUAGCUGGAUGGAUUCUUCAGCCUGGAUGCCCACUGAAAACAAGGACCGAAACUAAGAGGAUUGUAUCUCUACCCUUGACUCAAUGAGAAUGUUUGUUGUCAUCUCUCGGGCUACCUGGAGCUCCCUCUAAAAUGGGCUGGGACACUGCCUGAUUGAGGUGGCCAUUGAGAAUUCAAGUGUACCUCUUGGUCCCUGAUGCAGAAAUGAAGUCCCCAGCAUGCUCAAGAAGAGCUUCCUUGGAGGAUGAGAGGCAUGGGAAUCUAAGGGCCUUCUUUGGGGAGAGCAAAUACCCUCUGACAUCACACCUGUGCUCAGAAACGUCUUGGUUGAACAGCCAGGUAUUUGGCUUUCCUCAGCUGCUACAGGUGCCCCAGUCUACCGGCCCGAUCUAUUUGCAGUGGUCAGAUGGUGUUUGGAUGGAUUCCUGAGAAAUCCAUCCAUGGUCACUUAUUUUCUAGCAGGCUCAUUGUUUCCUGCUCAGUGUGUAAGAUCUGCUACCCAUGGCUGACUGAUCGUGGCAACAUCUGUGCGGCCAUUUGGCCUCACGGUCCGAGUAAACAACCAGCUGCCCCAGAUGAGGAAGCUAAAUUACUGAGAACAGAACUGGUGAGCCUCUGUUGUGAUGGAUUGUGUCUCCCAUCUCCAUCCUUUAAUGAUGGACCCCCUGCCUUACCCAGGCACUGCUUAUCUUUGUUGAAGCUCCUUUGCCAUUGUAUAUUCCCCCCCCACCCCCCCCUUGCUGCAAAGAAGAUUACAUGGCCCUACCUUUGGCCUUAUGAUGUGGAGAAGAGGAUGAGGGACCUGAGCAUACUUGGAAUUCUGCUGCAGAUACCAAAGCCAAAGGGCUAAGGAGUGGGCUUCCAAUCAGCCUUCUUGUCUCUUAAUUCUUAAGGAUCUUGGGUGGCCUGGAUCUGCCUGUCACAGAUACUGAGUCCUUUGUUUUGCCUAGUCACAGAAAGUAUGACAUAAACUUUGGGUCCCAGCAGUUGACAUUUUGCGAUGCCUAAAGGCCUUUAGCAGACCCAUGGUUUGCUUGGCCAUGUCAGAUGUCAGGGAGCAAGCUACUGUCCUAUUCUUGGGGACAGUGUUGGCAGUGAUAUGACAAGGGAACCUGAGCAGCAGCAUCUGCAGCAGGCUGACCCCCUCCCUACCCUCUUCCUUCUGCUGGGUUGCCUGAGGGACUUCUGAACAGAUAUCCUCAAAGUGGACAGAUGAGUCCUGUCACCCUGUGUGCACAUGUCUCUUAUCCCUAGCUCAUCUCUGUGGAAGGGUAGGAAUCUGUGACUCUACAAGUUCUAUGUGUGACAGUAAGAUUGAGACUUUUCUACUCUUCACUGAGCCCCUGGGACUCCCCUCCCCCCAUGCUCUUGGAAGAAACUUAGAAACUUUAAUUUCCUAAUUUUCAUAGAACAUCACUCCUUAUGUAUGAUCAAAAACAUCAAUUAAAAACACUCAACAGUUU
RNAcentral lists this long non-coding RNA (1800 nucleotides) under Mus musculus (house mouse). RNAcentral's name for it is "Pvt1 oncogene". The stretch from base 1 to 153 matches the Rfam family "Pvt1 oncogene conserved region 1". The record is from RNAcentral. Lineage: Eukaryota; Metazoa; Chordata; Mammalia; Rodentia; Muridae.